ACAACCAUCUCUGCAGCAAUCCACCAAUCAGGCCUGUAUAGUAGAGUGGCCAGACGGAAUCCAUUCUUUAGUAAAAGGUCCAUAGCAGCCCAUCUGGAGUGUUGCAACUAGACAC
This is a long non-coding RNA of Thalassophryne amazonica, 115 nucleotides long. RefSeq lists it as uncharacterized. Lineage: Eukaryota; Metazoa; Chordata; Actinopteri; Batrachoidiformes; Batrachoididae. The record is from RefSeq and is a predicted model, not a curated record. The transcript is spliced from 3 exons.